This 21-nucleotide unclassified non-coding RNA is filed under the name Dictyostelium discoideum. The record is from RNAcentral. Lineage: Eukaryota; Evosea; Eumycetozoa; Dictyosteliales; Dictyosteliaceae.
AGAUCUUGUAUCUGACCACCC